RNAcentral lists this ribosomal RNA (484 nucleotides) under uncultured bacterium. RNAcentral's name for it is "partial 16S ribosomal RNA". It matches the Rfam family "Bacterial small subunit ribosomal RNA", at positions 30 to 507 of the family's 1533-position model. The record is from RNAcentral.
AUUGAACGCUGGCGGCAGGCCUAACACAUGCAAGUCGAGCGGAUGAAGGGAGCUAGCUCCUGGAUUCAGCGGCGGACGGGUGAGUAAUGCCUAGGAAUCUGCCUGGUAGUGGGGGAUAACGUCCGGAAACGGGCGCUAAUACCGCAUACGUCCUGAGGGAGAAAGUGGGGGAUCUUCGGACCUCACGCUAUCAGAUGAGCCUAGGUCGGAUUAGCUAGUAGGUGGGGUAAAGGCCUACCAAGGCGACGAUCCGUAGCUGGUCUGAGAGGAUGAUCAGUCACACUGGAACUGAGACACGGUCCAGACGCCUACGAGAGGCAGCAGUGGAGAAUAUUGGACGAUGGGCGAGAGCCUGAGCCAGCCAUGCCGCGUGUGUGAAGAAGGUCUUCGGAUUGUGAAGCACUUUAAGUUGGGAGGAAGGGCAGUAAGUUAAUACCUUGCUGUUUUGACGUUACCAACAGAAUAAGCACCGGCUAACUUCGUG